RNAcentral lists this ribosomal RNA (586 nucleotides) under Petasospora fabianii. RNAcentral's name for it is "Cyberlindnera fabianii partial large subunit ribosomal RNA". It matches the Rfam family "Eukaryotic large subunit ribosomal RNA", at positions 53 to 655 of the family's 3401-position model. Lineage: Eukaryota; Fungi; Ascomycota; Saccharomycetes; Phaffomycetales; Wickerhamomycetaceae. The record is from RNAcentral.
GAGGAAAAGGAACCAACAGGGAUUGCCUCAGUAACGGCGAGUGAAGCGGCAAAAGCUCAAAUUUGAAAUCUAGUACCUUCGGUGCUCGAGUUGUAAUUUGAAGGUAGUUUUCUGGUGCUGGCCCUUGUCUAUGUUCCUUGGAACAGGACGUCAUAGAGGGUGAGAAUCCCGUCUGAUGGGGUGUCCAGUGCUUUGUAGAUUUCUACCGAAGAGUCGAGUUGUUUGGGAAUGCAGCUCUAAGUGGGUGGUAAAUUCCAUCUAAAGCUAAAUACUGGCGAGAGACCGAUAGCGAACAAGUACAGUGAUGGAAAGAUGAAAAGAACUUUGAAAAGAGAGUGAAAAAGUACGUGAAAUUGUUGAAAGGGAAGGGUAUUGGAUCAGACUUGGUGUCUUGUGAUUAUCUUCCCUUCUUGGGUUGUGCACUCGCAUUUCACUGGGCCAGCAUCGGUUCGGAUGGCAAGAUAAUGGCUUGGGAAUGUGGCACUCUUCGGAGUGUGUUAUAGCCCUUGUUGAUGUUGCCUAUCUGGACCGAGGACUGCGGCUUUUGCCUAGGAUGCUGGCGUAAUGAUUCAAUACCGCCCGUCUU